UCCGUCCGCUUUGCGGAUCCGCUGCGUAUUUGUUCCGUAUUCGCAUUCUGACUGUUGCUAACCCUAACCCUUGGAUGGCCUGCUGUUACAGAGAGAAUCUGCGGUUAAAUCAUCUUAGAUCCGCACUGUGAACGUACUUUUAACACAACACUUUGUUUUUGACACAAUGAUUUGUACUAUCAAUGCGCGGAUCCGCGGCUAACCCGGUUCGGAUUCGCUGCGCGGACGCGCCACUGACUCAUCAGCCGUUAUCAGAACCAUGAGAGAAAGAAACAACAUCCACCUGUUGUCCGUGGAUUUCACUUUUUGACAAGUGCAGUAGGAAAGUUAGCGACAGAAGCAGCUGACGUGAUGAAGACGAUGUGAGGUCAGGAGUCAGGAUAACUCCAUCUCUUGAGAAUUGUAAUUCUGCUCCGUGAUCAUUGGUCGUGUCUAACGGGCUCGGUUCUGGCUGGAUGCCGCUCUCGGCGCUCUGCCUUCGGCUGUGGAGCGACGGUGACACCGGUGUCUGAUCUGGUUGUGUUUUUAACCAGAGAUAAUUAUUAUUUGUGUAGACUAGAGUGUUGACUGUUGAGUUGAGACUAAAGUGCAGUCAUGUCAGUGCCUUAAUACAAUAAUUUAACGCAACGUGCCAUAAUACAAUAACGUAACGUAAUAAAAAGCACAACUUUUAACAACAGCUAACGUUAGCUAACCAACCAAAACUUAUGUUGUUUUUCCCCAGAUGACAUCAGGAGCCCCUGUCCUUCUGCUGAGUGUCCCCAUCAGGAGGCCGGCACGCUGAUCAGAAAAUAUACUAUGGUUAAUAAGAAGAUGGACAUAACAGCAUGACAAAGACCCUCUGGAGAAUUCCCUCUGCUGGGCCAAGUUCCAAAAAUGUAGAGACAGACCCUCUAACAUGCUGUGGUGGAGUUUAAAGACUGACCCUCUAUGCUGUGAGAAAGGGGAAGUCCAGAGCUGGACACUGACAGACUGGAUCUUCACCAGUAGGACUGAAGAGGAGCCAGCCUCACUACACCUCUGCCUCAAAACCUCUGCCUCAGACUGAAGCUAAAGACAGAGGCUCUGAAGCUCCCACACUGCACACUCUAUAAGAACAACCACCCGUCUAAUUGUUCUGUGGUGGUAAACACAAGUUAAGUUUUAGUUUUAAACAGUAUGGUAUGGCUA
This is a long non-coding RNA of Boleophthalmus pectinirostris (great blue-spotted mudskipper), 1170 nucleotides long. RefSeq lists it as uncharacterized. Lineage: Eukaryota; Metazoa; Chordata; Actinopteri; Gobiiformes; Gobiidae. The transcript has 7 exons. The record is from RefSeq and is a predicted model, not a curated record.